AUUGAACGCUGGCGGCAGGCCUAACACAUGCAAGUCGAACGGUAACAGGAAGACGCUUGCUUCUUUGCUGACGAGUGGCGGACGGGUGAGUAAUGUCUGGGAAACUGCCUGAUGGAGGGGGAUAACUACUGGAAACGGUAGCUAAUACCGCAUAACGUCGCAAGACCAAAGAGGGGGACCUUCGGGCCUCUUGCCAUCGGAUGUGCCCAGAUGGGAUUAGCUAGUAGGUGGGGUAACGGCUCACCUAGGCGACGAUCCCUAGCUGGUCUGAGAGGAUGACCAGCCACACUGGAACUGAGACACGGUCCAGACUCCUACGGGAGGCAGCAGUGGGGAAUAUUGCACAAUGGGCGCAAGCCUGAUGCAGCCAUGCCGCGUGUAUGAAGAAGGCCUUCGGGCUGUAAAGUACUUUCAGCGGGGAGGAAGGGAGUAAAGUUAAUACCUUUGCUCAUUGACGUUACCCGCAGAAGAAGCACCGGCUAACUCCGUG
This 490-nucleotide ribosomal RNA is filed under the name uncultured bacterium. RNAcentral's name for it is "partial 16S ribosomal RNA". It matches the Rfam family "Bacterial small subunit ribosomal RNA", at positions 30 to 507 of the family's 1533-position model. The record is from RNAcentral.